ACGGCUCAGUAACACGUCGUUAAUCUGCCCUUAGGUCAGGGAUACCCUCGGAAAACUGAGGUUAACACCUGAUAAGAGAUUAUGUCUGGAAUGAUUUAUCUCCUAAAUUCGAGCCUAAGGAUGAGACGGCGGCGGAUUAGGCUGUUGGCGGGGUAAUGGCCCACCAAACCAAAGAUCCGUACGGGCCUUGAGAGAGGUAGCCCGGAGAAGGACACUGAGAUACUGGUCCUAGCCCUACGGGGUGCAGCAGGCGCGAAACCUUUACAAUGCACGCAAGUGUGAUAAGGGGAUCCCAAGUGCUUAUGCUUUGCAUAGGCUUUUGCCAAGACUAAAUCUCUUGGCGAAUAAGUGGUGGGCAAGACUGGUGCCAGCCGCCGCGGUAACACCAGCGCCACAAGUGGCAAUCACAUUUAUUGGGCCUAAAGCGUCCGUAGCCGGUCUAGCAAAUCUUUUGUGAAAUCGUCAGGCUUAACUUGACGGCUUGCAGAAGACACUACUAGACUCGGGACCGGGAGGAGUCAGAAGUAUUCUAGGGGGACCGGUAAAAUGGUAUAAUCCCUAGAGGACUACCGAUGGCGAAGGCAUCUGACUAGAACGGAUCCGACGGUGAGGGACGAAAGCCAGGGGAGCGAACCGGAUUAGAUACCCGAGUAGUCCUGGCCGUAAACGCUGCGAGUUAGGUGUUGCACAAACUACGGGUUUGUGCGGUGUCGAAAAGAAGUUGUUAAACUCGCCGCCCGGGAAGUACGGUCGCAAGACUGAAACUUUAAGGAAUUGGCGGGGGAGCACA
Molecule: ribosomal RNA, 790 nt
Filed under: uncultured archaeon
Lineage: Archaea
Description: bacterial SSU rRNA
Rfam family: Archaeal small subunit ribosomal RNA
Source: RNAcentral